RNAcentral lists this ribosomal RNA (492 nucleotides) under uncultured bacterium. Its description in RNAcentral is "partial 16S ribosomal RNA". It matches the Rfam family "Bacterial small subunit ribosomal RNA", at positions 29 to 507 of the family's 1533-position model. The record is from RNAcentral.
AGUGAACGCUGGCGGUAGGCCUAACACAUGCAAGUCGAACGGCAGCACAGUAAGAGCUUGCUCUUACGGGUGGCGAGUGGCGGACGGGUGAGGAAUACAUCGGAAUCUACUUUUUCGUGGGGGAUAACGUAGGGAAACUUACGCUAAUACCGCAUACGACCUACGGGUGAAAGCAGGGGAUCUUCGGACCUUGCGCGAUUGAAUGAGCCGAUGUCGGAUUAGCUAGUUGGCGGGGUAAAGGCCCACCAAGGCGACGAUCCGUAGCUGGUCUGAGAGGAUGGGCGCCCACAGUGGAACUUAAAACGGCCCCAACCCCCUCCGGGGGGCACCAGUGGGGAAUUUGGGACAAUGGCCGCAAGCUGGAUCCAGCCAUCCCGGGGGGGUAAAGAAGGCUUUCGGUUUUUAAAGCCUUUUUUUUGGAAAAAAAAAGCAGCAGUUUAACACCCCGCUGUUCUGAGGGUACCAAAAAAAAAAGCCCCGCCUACCUUCGUC